Molecule: long non-coding RNA, 4282 nt
Organism: Cucumis sativus (cucumber)
Lineage: Eukaryota; Viridiplantae; Streptophyta; Magnoliopsida; Cucurbitales; Cucurbitaceae
Exons: 3
Source: RefSeq, a predicted model, not a curated record
CUAUGAAUAAUUUCGAUUGGAUGUCACUAUAUCUUAAUAACUAUUAUAGAUGUGGAUUCAAGUGAGAGGACUAAUUACCCCUAUUGCCGUAAUUGACACAAUCAAGCUAUCAUUUUGGUGUAUAAUAUCUUGUGUAUUUAUUUGUCGUAUACUUUCCUUCUAUUGCUUUUGUUUGUGUAUAAUUGUACAUGUAAUUAUGGAUUCUAUAUACAAGAAAACAUCCAUAUUCAAUAAAAAGUCCACAUGGUAUCAGAGCCCUAAUUUUCUUUUAGAAAUUUUGCCGCGGCUAGUUCAAUUCCGUCCGCCGGUCAUCUCCCGUUCAACUCUCCGACGACCACCUCCGUUCAGAUCUCCGACGAGAUCUCUGAAGCAAGUCGUACACAUCUGUCACUCACACCAGAUCUGUCUGUGACUCUUCUUCUGUCCACGAUCCCAGAUCUCACACGCCUCAGUCGCUCACGCCACCUGCCAAUCCUCGCUCUGCUUGUCACGCACGUCCGCCAUUUUUCGCCGAACCAUCUGACCAUCAAUCUUCCUAGUCGCCGCCCGAAGAGAUCUCUGAAGCAAACCACACGCGUUCAACUAGAUCUAUCCGUGGUUCUAGUUCUGUCCACGAUUUCAGAUCUCGCACGCGUCUGCCACUCACACCAGCCGUCUUGUUUUUGUCCGAGAGUUGAAGAGUUGCCGUUUUCGUCCACAAUUCCGUCCACGAUUCCAGAUCUCCUAGUCACACGCACGUUCACCAUUUUCGUCCGAGCAUCUCACCUUCAACCUUCUUGUUUUUGUGUAACCCAGGUCUAAAGUCCAACUCAUUGCCAAAAAAAAAAAAAAAAAAUCAGAUCCAUCCACCUCUGCACAAUCUAUUUCCGUUUCCAGAUCGUGGUUUCAUUGUAGUUCACAAUCUGUCGCAUGGAGAAACAUGAUGUUCCUCGUCCUAUAAGCCCCAUACUUGAUGGCUCCAAUUAUAUCACUUGGGCUCACCAAAUGAGGAGCUUUCUGAUCGGUCGAAAACUAUGGCGUAUAGUUAUCGGCGAUAUCACCAAACCCACUCCUCCCAAGAGAACAAUUAGUAAAGUCACCAAUAAAGACAUUGAUGUCAAUAGAGGACGACAAGUACAUUGAAAAACUUGAGGACUGAGAUAGUAAAAAUCAUCAAAUCAUCACUUGGUUGGGUAACACCUCUAUCCCUGCAAUUCAUACUCAAUUUGAUGCAUUUGAUAUUGCCAAGGAUCUUUGGGAUUUUCGGUACACAAGGUUUCAGUCCAUUGGGCUUGCUCAUUAUUAUCAAUUACACUCGUCUUGUGAGUCUAACCCAGAAGGGAGGACAAUAUGUGAAUGAGUAUCUUGCCACCCUUCAGCCAAUUUGGACUCAACUAGACCAGGCAAAAAUUAGUCCAGAUCAUAUUCGCCUCAUUCAAGUCCUCAUGAGUUUGUGCCUGGAGUAUGAAUCAAUUCGGGCCGCUCUCUUACAUCGCAAUCCUCUACCAUCUCUCGAUGCCGCCAUUCAAGAAAUUUUAUUUGAAGAAAAACGUCUUGGCAUUGUCUCUCCUUUACCCUCUGAUGUUGCGCUUGCAACCACCUAUCUACGACCUGCGAAUGAGACCACUUUCUGCAAAAAUUAUAAACUUCAUGGUCAUAAGUUUGCUAAUUGUCCUACUAUUGAGUGCAAGUAUUGUCACAAGCGAGUGCAAGUAUUGUCACAAGCGAGGUCACAUCCGGGAAAACUGUCCCACUCGCCCACCCCGCUCUUCUGGUCACUCCUAUAAACCCAAGUCUUCUCCUAAAACUGGUUCUCACCCUGUGAUUGCUACUGCUAACCCAUCUGAUAUUAUUGCCCCUCAAAAUGUUCAAUUAAAUGAUCUGCAUGACUUACUGAAAUAGGUGAUCUCUUCCAACUCUACUGCUCUUGCAGUCACUCCAGGUUCAGGAUUCUUAGACGGGACAGGUGAUUGGUACGAGACGGAAGGUGGGACGAUUAUUUGAGCUCACAUCUCCUCAGCAUUCUCCUAUGUUCCCACUCAUCUCAGCACCAGUCACUGAUAAUACUAUAUACUAGUGGCAUCUCCGUCUAGGUCAUACUUCCUCUGAUAAACUUCAUAAUUUAGUUUCUACUGGCACCUUGAAAAAUGUCCCAAAAUUUAGUCCCUUUGACUAUUUAAAUUGCAAACUUGCGAAACAACCUGCUUUAUCAUUUUCUAAUUCUGCUUCAUUAUGUGAUACUCAUUUUGGUCUUAUUCAUUUUGACAUUUGGGGUUCUGCUUUAUGUACUACUGUUAAUGGUUAUUGAUAUUUUGUCUUAUUUAUUGAUGACUAUUCUCGUUUCACUUGGAUUUACUUUCUUAAACACCGUUCUUCGUUAUAUCAAAUUUAUGUUGAUUUUGCGAAUAUGAUUCACACACAAUUCUCUAGCACAAUUAAAAUCCUUCGCGCUGACAAUGCGAUGGAAUAUAAAGACUCCCGUCUUCUUUCCUUCAUUGCCCAUCAAGGCACUUUGAUUCAACGCUCAUGUCCCCACACCUCCCAGCAGAAUGGAAGAGCUGAACGCAAACACCGUCACAUUCUAGACUCUGUUCGUGCUCAACUUCUUUCUACUUCCUGUCCUGAAAAAAUUUGGGGAGAGGCUGCCCUCACCUCAGUCUAUGUCAUCAACCGCAUUCCUUCUCAUGUCAUUCAUUCACAAUGUUUCCCCUUUUGAGCGACUAUAUGGUACUUUCCCUUCUUACUCUAAUCUCAAGGUCUUUGGUUGUGCAUGUUUUGUAUUAUUACAUCCUCAUCAACAUACCAAACUUGAACCAAGGGCUCGUCUUUGUUGUUUCUUGGGUUAUGGUACUGAACAUAAAGGAUUUCGCUGUUGGGAUCCCAUCUCUCUGCGAUUACGAAUAUCCCAUCAUGUCACCUUUUGGGAACAUCGUAUGUUCUCUACUCUUUCUUCAUUUCAUGCAUUUCUUUUUGGUCCUCACUUAUUUUUCACUAAUCCUUCUACUGACCUAUUCCCUACUUCUUGCUUAUCACUACACCUUGUCCUCUACCCAUAUCUGAGCUCACUCAACCAGAACCUAUCCCUGCGCUCCCGGAUCUUCCAUCCGUCUCUUGUGAGGAUUCUGCAUCUGCACCGGCCCGACGGUCUACCCGGGUAAGAGAAUCUCCUCCUCAUCUUAAAGAUUACAAUUGUUUUUCCACUAUCAUGUCUUUGGUUGAACCUUCCUCAUAUAAGGAAGUCAGUACUAACUCAUUGUGGCAGCAAGCAAUGAACGAAGAACUCCAAACCUUAGAAAAAACUCAUACUUGGGACUAUGUAUGAAAAUAAGUAAGCACAAGGUGAAAAUAAGCUUUUAAUCUUGUCAAACUUCCCCUAUUUAGUAUUUAUAGACUUUUUCAGUGAAGCCUCCCAUUCUGGAAUGACUACCUCUACGUAACGGUGAGGAUCAUUCAAUCUCAAAACGCCACAUGGCUCCUGCCACUCUUAUUUUGAACUUGGUGGGCGACAAGGUCAAAUCAAUUCGUUGACCUUAUGACAUCAACUAUUUUGUGGUGAAGGAAGCUCUCAUUCACCUCCCAUCUCAAGGUAAAAAAAAUGGUUUUAUUUGAGAAUAAAAAAAGGAGAUUGAGAGAGGUGGCAGUCGACGCAAGAGACAAACACAGUGAGAGAGAAUUUUUCUUGCAAACAAGAGAGGAGAAAGUGUGGCCGACGAAGAAGAAGACAUUGGAGUUUCGACGUCAGUGAUGAUAGACUUUUUCGAGCAGCAUUUUACAGCGUAUGACUUUGGUCGUGGGUUUGUAGGAAGUUCUGGCAUUCCAGCGUUUGUUGGAGUCAGAUUUAAUCGACUUUCAUAGGUUUAAUUGCAGAUAGGAGAAUAGAAGGGUCGAGUGGCGUUUUCGACAAGUUUAAUUGUGAAUUUUGUCGUUGGUGUUUUUUUCUUUCAAUUGAGGUUCUUCUUGGGAUUUUUAGUGGGUUGUUCGACACAUAAGUCUCCGAUCAAAGGAGCCAACAAGAAGAAAAUCCCAAAGCUUCCAAUCAGAGGAGCCGACAAGAAGAAAAUAAAAGUAUGGAGACUUUGAAGAGUUUGAAAGUGACGAAACUAGAAGCUCCAAUAGUUUCUGCAACUGACGAAAGAAUUUAAUGUUAAUUUGUGGAUUUUGGAGGAAAUUAGGAUUUUGAGAGGUGUAAGUUGUGUGUUGAGAAUUUGAUUUUAACUAUAGGGUAUUAGUGAUUUCUUGAAUAAUUGUAUUCAUGAUUCAAUUUUUGAAUUAAGUAGAGACAUUUAAGAUAUUGUUCCAGCAA